CCAAUAGCGUAUAUUAAAGUUGUUGCAGUUAAAAAGCUCGUAGUUGAAUUUCGGGAUUAGUACGUUGGUCGUGCCUUCGGUACGUACUGGUGUUACUGAUUCCUACCUUCUGACGAACCAUCAUGUCAUUAAUUUGGUGUGGUGGGGAAUCAGGACUGUUACUUUGAAAAAAUUAGAGUGUUUAAAGCAGGCUCGCGCUUGAAUACAUUAGCAUGGAAUAAUGAAAUAGGACGUUGAUCCUAUUUUGUUGGUUUCUAGGAUUGACGUAAUGAUUAAUAGGGAUAGUUGGGGGCAUUAGUAUUCAACUGUCAGAGGUGAAAUUCUUGGAUUUAUUGAAGACUAACUACUGCGAAAGCAUUUGCCAAGGAUGUUUUCAUUAAUCAAGAACGAAAGUUAGGGGAUCGAAGACGAUCAGAUACCGUCGUAGUCUUAACCAUAAACUAUGCCGACUAGGGAUCGGAUGAUGUUAUUUUUAAUGACUCAUUCGGCGCCUUACG
RNAcentral lists this ribosomal RNA (497 nucleotides) under uncultured Glomeromycotina. RNAcentral describes it as "partial small subunit ribosomal RNA". It matches the Rfam family "Eukaryotic small subunit ribosomal RNA", at positions 591 to 1092 of the family's 1831-position model. The record is from RNAcentral. Lineage: Eukaryota; Fungi; Glomeromycota.